ACGCUGGCGGCGUGCCUAACACAUGCAAGUCGAACGGGGUUGAGCCCUUCGGGACUCGACUUAGUGGCGAACGGGUGAGUAACGCGUGAGGAACCUGCCUCUCAGUGGGGGACAACAGUUGGAAACGACUGCUAAUACCGCAUAACAUAUCUGGACCGCAUGAUCUGGAUAUCAAAGCUUUAUGUGCUGAGAGAUGGCCUCGCGUCUGAUUAGCUAGUUGGUGGGGUAACGGCCCACCAAGGCGACGAUCAGUAGCCGGUCUGAGAGGAUGAACGGCCACAUUGGGACUGAGAUACGGCCCAGACUCCUACGGGAGGCAGCAGUGGGGAAUAUUGGGCAAUGGGCGAAAGCCUGACCCAGCAACGCCGCGUGAGUGAAGAAGUAUUUCGGUAUGUAAAGCUCUAUCAGCAAGGAAGAUAAUGACGGUACUUGACUAAGAAGCCCCGGCUAACUACGUG
Molecule: ribosomal RNA, 458 nt
Filed under: uncultured bacterium
Lineage: Bacteria
Description: bacterial SSU rRNA
Rfam family: Bacterial small subunit ribosomal RNA
Source: RNAcentral